RNAcentral lists this transfer RNA (65 nucleotides) under Dipodomys ordii (Ord's kangaroo rat). It matches the Rfam family "tRNA". From Rfam's summary of the family: Transfer RNA (tRNA) molecules are approximately 80 nucleotides in length. Their secondary structure includes four short double-helical elements and three loops (D, anti-codon, and T loops). The record is from Rfam by way of RNAcentral. Lineage: Eukaryota; Metazoa; Chordata; Mammalia; Rodentia; Heteromyidae.
GGUGGCUCAGUGGUAGAGUGCUUGCCUUGCAUGCAAGAGGCCCUGAGUUCGAUUCCUCAGCACCA